RNAcentral lists this ribosomal RNA (489 nucleotides) under uncultured bacterium. RNAcentral's name for it is "partial 16S ribosomal RNA". It matches the Rfam family "Bacterial small subunit ribosomal RNA", at positions 30 to 507 of the family's 1533-position model. The record is from RNAcentral.
UUGAACGCUGGCGGCAGGCCUAACACCUGCAAGUCGAACGGUAACAGGAAGAAGCUUGCUUCUUUGCUGACGAGUGGCGGACGGGUGAGUAAUGUCUGGGAAACUGCCUGAUGGAGGGGGAUAACUACUGGGAACGGUAGCUAAUACCGCAUAACGUCGCAAGACCAAAGAGGGGGACCUUCGGGCCUCUUGCCAUCGGAUGUGCCCAGAUGGGAUUAGCUAGUAGGUGGGGUAACGGCUCACCUAGGCGACGAUCCCUAGCUGGUCUGAGAGGAUGACCAGCCACACUGGAACUGAGACACGGUCCAGAUUCCUACGGGAGGCAGCAGUGGGGAAUAUUGCACAAUGGGCGCAAGCCUGAUGCAGCCAUGCCGCGUGUAUGAAGAAGGCCUUCGGGUUGUAAAGUACUUUCAGCGGGGAGGAAGGGAGUAAAGUUAAUACCUUUGCUCAUUGACGUUACCCGCAGAAGAAGCACCGGCUAACUCCGUG